RNAcentral lists this ribosomal RNA (741 nucleotides) under uncultured bacterium. RNAcentral describes it as "bacterial SSU rRNA". It matches the Rfam family "Bacterial small subunit ribosomal RNA", at positions 8 to 722 of the family's 1533-position model. The record is from RNAcentral.
AGAGUUUGAUCAUGGCUCAGAACGAACGCUGGCGGCGUGCCUAAUACAUGCAAGUCGUACGAGAACAUUCCCUUCGGGGAAUUAGUAAAGUGGCGCACGGGUGAGUAACACGUGGGUAAUCUACCCUGGGGUUCGGGAUAACAUCGGGAAACCGUUGCUAAUACCGGGUAAGCUCACAGGCUCUACGGGGUCAGUGAGAAAAGAGGGCCUCUUCCUGAAAGCUCUCGCCUCUGGAUGAGCCCGCGGACCAUUAGCUUGUUGGUGAGGUAACGGCUCACCAAGGCUGCGAUGGUUAGCUGGUCUGAGAGGAUGAUCAGCCACACUGGGACUGACACACGGCCCAGACUCCUACGGGAGGCAGCAGUAGGGAAUAUUGCGCAAUGGGGGAAACCCUGACGCAGCAACGCCGCGUGGGUGAAGAAGGCUUUCGAGUUGUAAAGCCCUGUCAGGAGGGAAGAAAUGCGUAACGGACCAAUACCCGUUGCGUUUGACGGUACCUCGAGAGGAAGCACCGGCUAACUCUGUGCCAGCAGCCGCGGUAAUACAGAGGGUGCAAGCGUUGUUCGGAAUUAUUGGGCGUAAAGCGCGUGUAGGCGGUCUGCCAAGUCGGGUGUGAAAGCCCUCGGCUUAACCGAGGAAGUGCGCCCGAAACUAGCAGACUUGAGUACCGGAGAGGGUGGCGGAAUUCCCGGUGUAGAGGUGAAAUUCGUAGAUAUCGGGAGGAACACCAGCGGCGAAGGC